Long non-coding RNA from Sorghum bicolor (sorghum), 419 nucleotides. RefSeq lists it as uncharacterized. The transcript has 3 exons. Lineage: Eukaryota; Viridiplantae; Streptophyta; Magnoliopsida; Poales; Poaceae. The record is from RefSeq and is a predicted model, not a curated record.
UAGCUGACUCCAGACUACUGGCUGCAGCAACACAGAUAGCCCACAACUCUGAUGUUACUGAAUGUGAUGCUCUAUUAUAUAGUUUGUCAAUUCUAGAAAUAGUUUUUUGCCAUUCACCAUAUCUUGCAUUCUCAGGACUACAAGAGUGCAUGUGAAGCGAUUGUUUGAUGGAAUUGUUGGACCUAGAAUACUGAAUUUGAGGAUGCUCCAAGGUGGUGUUGGCCUGAGUUUACUUCAGUUCUGCAACCUAAACUGCUUUAGGACCAAUGGGGUUCGCUUUCUUCAUGGGCUUAUCAGUUCCUUAGUACUUCAAUGAGUACAGCUGUUGCAAGUUAUGGUCCAGUGCACACUGGCGCCAGAUGGAGGUUUUGGUGGAAGAAAUGCAUGACUUGGACAAGUGAAGUGUGGUCAUGUUUUUU